RNAcentral lists this ribosomal RNA (503 nucleotides) under uncultured bacterium. RNAcentral describes it as "partial 16S ribosomal RNA". It matches the Rfam family "Bacterial small subunit ribosomal RNA", at positions 30 to 523 of the family's 1533-position model. The record is from RNAcentral.
AUUGAACGCUGGCGGCAGGCUUAACACAUGCAAGUCGAGCGGGGUGAUGGUGCUUGCACUAUCACUUAGCGGCGGACGGGUGAGUAAUGCUUAGGAAUCUGCCUAUUAGUGGGGGACAACAUCUCGAAAGGGAUGCUAAUACUGCAUACGUCCUACGGGAGAAAGCAGGGGAUCACUUGUGACCUUGCGCUAAUAGAUGAGCCUAAGUCGGAUUAGCUAGUUGGUGGGGUAAAGGCCUACCAAGGCGACGAUCUGUAGCGGGUCUGAGAGGAUGAUUCGCCACACUGGGACUGAGACACGGCCCAGACUCCUACGGGAGGCAGCAGUGGGGAAUAUUGGACAAUGGGGGGAACCCUGAUCCAGCCAUGCCGCGUGUGUGAAGAAGGCCUUAUGGUUGUAAAGCACUUUAAGCGAGGAGGAGGCUCUUUUGGUUAAUACCCAAGAUGAGUGGACGUUACUCGCAGAAUAAGCACCGGCUAACUCUGUGCCAGCCGCCGCGGUAA